AGUGAACGCUGGCGGUAGGCCUAACACAUGCAAGUCGAACGGCAGCACAGUAAGAGCUUGCUCUUACGGGUGGCGAGUGGCGGACGGGUGAGGAAUACAUCGGAAUCUACUUUUUCGUGGGGGAUAACGUAGGGAAACUUACGCUAAUACCGCAUACGACCUACGGGUGAAAGCAGGGGAUCUUCGGACCUUGCGCGAUUGAAUGAGCCGAUGUCGGAUUAGCUAGUUGGCGGGGUAAAGGCCCACCAAGGCGACGAUCCGUAGCUGGUCUGAGAGGAUGAUCAGCCACACUGGAACUGAGACACGGUCCAGACUCCUGCGGGAGGCAGCAGUGGGGAAUAUUGGACAAUGGGCGCAAGCCUGAUCCAGCCAUACCGCGUGGGUGAAGAAGGCCUUCGGGUUGUAAAGCCCUUUUGUUGGGAAAGAAAAGCAGCAGGUUAAUACCCCGCUGUUCUGACGGUACCCAAAGAAUAAGCACCGGCUAGCUUCGUG
RNAcentral lists this ribosomal RNA (492 nucleotides) under uncultured bacterium. Its description in RNAcentral is "partial 16S ribosomal RNA". It matches the Rfam family "Bacterial small subunit ribosomal RNA", at positions 29 to 507 of the family's 1533-position model. The record is from RNAcentral.